GUGGGAAGAAAUAUGAACAUCAUGAGUUGAUGGAGAUCAAAAGCAUGGCAUGAUGAUUUUGUGAUCAACAAGUAUAUGAUAUUGAAUGAAGUGAAUGAGAAAUUGAAUACAUUGAAGAUGUGGGAUACAAAGUGUUUUCAUGUGGCAAGAUGGUGAAGGGAAAGCAAGACUGGGCUGCGAUGGGCCAUGCAAUGGUGAAGGGCAUGCAAGAGGCUUGGCGCCGAUGGACCAAGGUAGUGGUGAAGGGUGAGUAAAGGCUUGGGACCGAUGGACCAUAAGAGGCCAUAUGAAGCUAUGAGUGAUCCGCAUCAAUUAUAUGAAGAAUGCAAAAAGAUAUGGAGUAAAAUCAAAGGAUAUACUUCACAUGGUGAAAUAUAUCACGUGGCUUGAAGAACUGAAAAUCAAUGACCAUCAUGUGUUGAUGAGAGUAACAUGAUGUGGUGAGGAGUUAGAAGAUGGAAAUCAUGUGAUUGACCGACAUCAAGUGUAUUGAUAAGAUGAAAUGGACAGAGUCUAUAUGUUGAUGAACAUCAAGUGCCCUGAAGAAAUGAUGGUGAUGGACAUAGUAUGCAUAUGAGCAUCAAGCUAGAUCCAAGUGGAUUUGCGCAAGGCAAAGGUAUGAUAUGUAGGGCAUUUCAUUUUGCUGGUCUCGGUGUUUAGUGGAGAAAAGAACGGAUUGAUAUAAUAGAAUGCCGUAAUAUUAAGAGGGGUCUUGAUGAUGCUUUGAGUCAUUACCAGGUGUUGAAAAGCUCAAUCUUGCAUAUGCAUACUAGCCUUUGUAUGGAACUAGUCAUUUGCAUAACUUGCUUAGCAAAUGGUUGAUGGUAAUGGCAUGUGGUAGAUCUUAGAUUGUAAUUCUGCUU
Molecule: long non-coding RNA, 863 nt
Filed under: Setaria viridis
Lineage: Eukaryota; Viridiplantae; Streptophyta; Magnoliopsida; Poales; Poaceae
Description: long non-coding RNA (SVIR_LNC004067)
Source: RNAcentral